GCAAUAGUUAAAAAGGUAUGUCGCUGCCAGAUAAUUAAAUUCGAUUCAAUUCAAUUUUCUUUGUAUAGCGCUUUUAGGAAUGGUCAUUGUCUCAAAGCAGAUUUACAGAAACAUAUAAACACAGAAUACAGAUUUCAAGUGUGUAAUUUUUUUUUCCCGUAAUGAGCAAGCUGGUGGUGACAGUGGCAAGGAAAAACUUCCUAAGAAGAUGGGAGGAAGAAACCUUGAGAGGAACCAGACUCAGAAGGGAACCCAUCUUCUGGGUCACAUUGGAUAGUGUGAAAGUGAGGCUAAAAGGAUAUCAUCGAUAUAUAUUGAAGAACCACUGAAUCUUUAACUGGACAAUCUGGUUCUGACAGAUGGCACCUUAACGCCUGAUGAUACAAUGUAGGGCUGUUGUGGAAACCCUGUUGGAGUCGUGUCCACUGAUACUGAUCAUCAACAAAGAAGAAAACUAACCAUGGCUGGAUAUCAGGAUAUAAAGGCACAGACCAAAAAAUCAUUAGCCAUAUCAAUGACUGAAAACACUUUGUAUGAAUUUGGAAUGCCAUCAAAAAUGGUGCUUGGGUCAGCUAAACGUGGUGGAAUACGAUCAACAGAGGUGUUAGCGACACAAUAAUCAACUGUCAAUUGCCAGAGGGAUUUUGGUGCACUUCCUGCUGUCUCAAUCUUUGGCCCACCUUUCCUUACAGGCCAAGAUGAGAAGAGGAGGAACUGCAUGCUCUGACAAGAGUGCCUCGGUUUACCAAAUCAGCAAUUAUAGGCUGAAUUCCAUCAAUAGCUUCCCUGGAAAUGGGGUACUGUUUCGUCAUGGGAGGGGGUGUACCUGUAAGAUGUACUGGUUCUAUGUCUAGUAGCCCACAGCCAUUCUUAUUCUUAGCCCAAAUAGGAUGAUUAGCAGUCAAAGGAUCUGACACCAGAACUGCAAGAACAGAGAAUUGAGGUUUGGGUGGUUCAAAAUCUAAUUGCAGGUGUAAUUGUGAAAUAACGUCAAUGCCCAAAAUAGGAGAGGUACAAAUCAGUGCUGCCAUAAGAGAGAUGCCAAGUGACUUAGGACCAAAACAUAAACAAAC
Ictalurus punctatus (channel catfish) is the source of this 1073-nucleotide long non-coding RNA. NCBI's taxonomy places the organism in Eukaryota, Metazoa, Chordata, Actinopteri, Siluriformes, Ictaluridae. The record is from Ensembl.